CGUGGGCUCGGAGAUGUGUAUAAGAGACAGGUAAAGCGCUGUCUCGGUGCGGGCUGCGAAAGCGGUACCAAUCUGUUGCAAACUCGGAAUACCUAGAACGCUUUCAAUCGGCCAGUGAGACUGCGGGGGAUAAGCUCCGUAGUCAAGAGGGAAACAGCCCAGACCACCAGCUAAGGCUCCUAAAUAAAAGCUAAGUGGCAAAGGAGGUGAAAAUGCAGUGACAAUCAGGAGGUUUGCCUAGAAGCAGCCACCCUUUAAAGAGUGCGUAAUAGCUCACUGAUCAAGCGUUUUCGCGCCGAAAAUGACCGGAACUAAGUUUUUUGCCGAAGCUGUGGCUACAUCACAUAGAUGAUGUAGGGUAGAGGAGCGUUCCGUCCAGGGGGAAGCCAAGCGCGUAAGCCGCGGUCGACAGGACGGAAGUGAGAAUGUCAGAUUGAGUAACGUAAACAUUGGUGAGAAUCCAAUGCCCCGAAAACUCAAGGGUUCCUGCGCAAGGCUCGUCCGCGCAGGGUCAGUCAGGACCUAAGGUGAGGCCGAAAGGCGUAAUUGAUGGCAAGAAGGUUUAUAUUCCUUCACUAGUCUAGGCUUAGUCCUGAGGGACGAACAAAUAACACUCGGCACAACGGCCACACUUGGCAGUAUGGAUAAACCCGUUGCUGUUUGAUGCUAUUUAUUCCAAGAAAAGCUCAUUCGACUUUGAGUCUAGAUUACCUGUACCGUAAACCGACACAGGUGAGUGGGUUGAAUAAACUAAGGGGAGCGAGAUAACUCUCUCUAAGGAACUCGGCAAAUUGGCUCUGUACCUUCGGAAGAAAGAGUGCCCCUCAGGGGGCCGCAGUGAAGAGAUCCAGGCGACUGUUUACCAAAAACACAGGUCUCCGCAAAGUCGUAAGACGACGUAUGGGGGCUGACACCUGCCCAGUGCCAGAAGGUUAAAGAAGUUGGUCAAUCUUUGAUGAAGCUAACAACUGAAGCCCUGGUGAACGGCGGCAGUAACUAUAACUGUCCUAAGGUAGCGAAAUUCCUUGUCGGGUAAGUUCCGACCCGCACGAAAGGUGUAACGAUCUGGAUACUGUCUCAGAGAGAGACUCGGUGAAAUAAAACUAGCUGUGAAGAUGCGGCUUACCUGCACACGGACAGAAAGACCCUAUGAAGCUUUACUGUAACCUGGAAUUGCUUUCAAGCUUAUUUUGCGCAGCUUAGGUGGGAGGCUACGAACCUUUUCUUCCGGGAAGAGGGGAGCCAUCAGUGAGAUACCACUCUUGGUAAGCUAGAGCGCUCAGUCUUCACCGUCAUCCGGUAAGACGACAGUUUCAGGCGGGCAGUUUGACUGGGGCAGUCACCUCCCAAAAGGUAAUGGA
RNAcentral lists this ribosomal RNA (1361 nucleotides) under seawater metagenome. RNAcentral's name for it is "bacterial LSU rRNA". It matches the Rfam family "Bacterial large subunit ribosomal RNA", at positions 876 to 2304 of the family's 2925-position model. The record is from RNAcentral.